RNAcentral lists this ribosomal RNA (250 nucleotides) under uncultured bacterium. RNAcentral's name for it is "partial 16S ribosomal RNA". It matches the Rfam family "Bacterial small subunit ribosomal RNA", at positions 524 to 773 of the family's 1533-position model. The record is from RNAcentral.
UACGGAGGGUGCUAGUGUUAUUCGGAAUCACUGGGCGUAAAGAGCACGUAGGCGGAUAGGUAAGUCAGAUGUGAAAUCCCGGAGCUCAACUUCGGAACUGCAUUUGAUACUGCCUGUCUUGAGUGUGGUAGAGGGGGAUGGAAUUCCCGGUGUAGAGGUGAAAUUCGUAGAUAUCGGGAGGAACACCAGAGGCGAAGGCGAUCCCCUGGGCCACUACUGACGCUGAGGUGCGAAAGCGUGGGGAGCAAAC